CAUACUCUGAGUAUCGUUAAUAUGUUAGAUUUCAGAGAUUAAUUGAGAGUGAUUGAAAACAAAAUGGAGGAAUCAGAUGAAUCAUCAGACGAUGAAGUUCAAUAUUCGGAGAAGUUACAGCCUCCUCUGAUAAAUCAGCUGAAGAAAAUUUUAGAUGAAUACCCAGACGACGGACAGAUUUUAAAGGAAAUUAUCCAGAAUGCCGAAGAUGCCGAGGCUUCAUUAAUGAAAGUUUUGUAUGACGAACGCAAAAUCAACCAAGAUAUAUCCAGCACUGAGAAACAAUAUUUCAAGAAGUAUUUUAAGGUAUAUAUUUAUAAAGUAUA
Long non-coding RNA from Mytilus californianus (California mussel), 326 nucleotides. RefSeq lists it as uncharacterized. The transcript has 3 exons. NCBI's taxonomy places the organism in Eukaryota, Metazoa, Mollusca, Bivalvia, Mytilida, Mytilidae. The record is from RefSeq and is a predicted model, not a curated record.